CGCAAUGGGCGAAAGCCUGACGGAGCGAUACAGCGUGAUGGACGAAGUGCCUCGGCACGUAAACAUCUUUUAUGAGGGACGAAAUUAUUGACGGUACCUCAUGAAUAAGGGGCUCCUAACUCUGUGCCAGCAGGAGCGGUAAUACAGAGGCCCCAAGCAUUAUCCGGAAUCACUGGGCGUAAAGGGUGUCAAGGCGGUUAUGUUAGUCGUUCGUAAAAUCCUGGAGCUCAACUUCAGGUCCGCGAGCGAAACGGCAUAACUAGAGGUUGGGAGAGGUGCGUGGAACUCACGGUGUAGGGGUGAAAUCCGUUGAUAUCGUGGGGAACACCAAAGGCGAAGGCAGCGCACUGGCCCAAAUCUUACGCUCCACACGAAAGCCA
RNAcentral lists this ribosomal RNA (380 nucleotides) under uncultured bacterium. RNAcentral describes it as "bacterial SSU rRNA". It matches the Rfam family "Bacterial small subunit ribosomal RNA", at positions 367 to 762 of the family's 1533-position model. The record is from RNAcentral.